This 9604-nucleotide unclassified non-coding RNA is filed under the name Manduca sexta (tobacco hornworm). Its description in RNAcentral is "uncharacterized LOC115441541, transcript variant X2". Lineage: Eukaryota; Metazoa; Arthropoda; Insecta; Lepidoptera; Sphingidae. The record is from RNAcentral.
UGGAAUGGGUAAAUUCUUUAUAGUGUCUGAGUAGCGAGAGACGGUUUUCUUUCUUUAUUUUUGCUUUUGCAUAUUAAAAACCUAUUUUUCAGUGGUCAAAACAUUUAUUAUCAUAGUAUCAAGUUCCCUGACAAAAAUAAAUGAACUAAUAGCGUAUUUCGCGUAAGCGGACAUAUUUCAGUAAAUUGGUCAAAUGAAUGUAAAUAAUAAAACAAUAAGAGACGAUUGUUAAGUGAUUUUUCCGCCCACUAGAUAUUCGGGAAGCAUUAUGCAUGUAGUGAGACGCGGCGGGUGAUAGAAGAGACUAUCGUGAAAUGUCGGGUGAUGGAGAUCGUGCAGUGCGGCCCAACUCUCUGCUGCUGGAGACCCCGCCGCCAGAGCGGGAGCCACUACACUUCGAUGUGCAGCUCGUUGGCGCGCCGCCGGAAGUGGAACAAUUGGUAAACAACAUCAAGCAGGUGGCUGAAGACUUUUUGUACCACUGGAAGACUUUCCCUAUUGUACUACCACCAUCUCGUUUUACUGGCGCCGGUAACCGUCCCUCAGAUAUUAUCGUAGCCCCGCCGUGUGAUGAGAUAGAUGCGGCUGCGCUAGACGCGGGCGUCGAGCCUCAGCCUCUUUCCCCAAAGCAACUGCACUCCAUAAGAGAGAAAGGUGAGUUCGAGGUGCCGUCGCGGCAUUUUCCGGGCCAGACGCACGUAUGGCGCGUGAGCGGGUGGCUGCAGCGCGGGCGUGCGCGUGCGCGUGAGGAGCUCUACCGGCACGUGGCGCGGGCCGUCGCGUUACUUGUUGUGGUGGCCCGCGACCGACUGCUCAGAGAUCAGCCGCUAUCGGUUCGGGCAGGGAUUAAUUCUCUCAUUUAUGGGUUGCACAGAUUACUAGACCUAAUAUUUGGUAUGCCGUCGAUGGUGGCUCGAGAUCUAGAGAAGAAAAUACGAGAGGAGAGAUCACGAUAUUUAGUCGCUGAAUUGAUUUGUAAGGCGGAGCAGGCGGGGUGGGCGCGCGCGCUGGCGGCGUGGGUGAUGCGCAGCGUGCGGCGCCGGCCCGCCGACAAGCGCGACCAUCCGCCGCUGCCGUGUCUCUACACCACGCCGCAGGGCACGCAUGUGGAUUUACGCCUCUAUCGGCGAGAGUUGUUGCGUCGCGCUGCGCCAAUCCUUCAAACGUUACUGGAGCGGGAGUCGCGCGGGUGGUUCUUGCACUUUAGAGAACGACAAGCGGCCAACUUGGCUAAAGAGAAGAUGCCCGUUAAGGAUAUUGAAGAGGAGGUGCGCGAGGCGGCGAUGCGCGAGUACGUGUCGCGCGUGUGCAGCGCCGUGCAGGCCAGCGCGCAGCUGCAGGAGCUCGGCGCCGACGUGCCCGACCUGCUCGUCGCACAGCUGCGGGCCUUCGUCAUUGUUAACAGGGCUGAAGAAGGCGUUCGGCGUAAGUUAGAAGCAGGCUUGGCUACCGCCGAGGCUCGAAUACGCGCCUCCCACCCGAUUCUCUCGAGAGCGGAUGCGUGGCGUAAAGAAAAAUUAACAGCCGCGGCACACCGACUCAACAGCGAACUGCGAUGGACUGCUAUGGAGGAUGCCGCCGCCGCAAUGCAGGCGCACAAGCUGCACCAGCACAGAUACUUUCUUUUGCGGGAUUUGGCUUUUCUUAGGGACCGAGAACCACUGCUUACUAAGGAGUUGCGCGCGGCGAAAAGUCCAACGCGUGAGUUCGAAUGGGCGCGUCGCAUCUGGGUGCCGCGGCGCUGGGUGGUGCUGCGGCAGUGGCGCGGGCGCGCCGAGCGCGUGCCCACCGUGCUGGGCGCGGGCGCCGGCUGCGGCCCGCCCGCGCCCGCGCCCGGCACCAUCACGCCGCGCACCGACGCCGCGCAGCCCGUCUACCUCGUGCGCCGCCACGUCGUGCACGUCACCUCCACGCGCUGGCCCGCCUGGCGACUGCUCAACUUGGCGCACAGAAUUUGGUGUUGGAGUUGGAAUAUGAUGUUUGUGCUUGGAGUGUUGGUGCCGUGGUGCUCGCCGGUGUCGCUGCGAACUUUGCUUUGCGUCAAGCCCUUCAUUCCAGACUUAGAACUCUCGCAGGUCAACGGUGCACUUUAUCCAAAACGUAGUAAAGAAACGCAAACGAUGUGGUCGCGGUUGCUGGCGCUAUGGCGACAUGUAUCAAAGGAACGGACGCGUUUCGAGACCGAACCUGAUACCGGUCUACUAGGUAAAGGUUUAAGUCGUCAAGCAAACCGUAUAUGGAACUACGGCAUCGUCGGCGGGCUGGGGUCGGCGGCGCUGCUGCUGCUGUUCCCGCUGGUGAGCGGCGCCGUGAGCUGCGCGGCGCUGGCGGCCGCCGUCACCGUGCCGCUCUGGACGCCGCCGCUCGCGUUAGCGUUACACGCUGCCGCCGCUCUACUGUACGAUAUAGACUGUCCGGAUCCCGACGUGCAUAACAGAUGGUUUCCGCUGGUGGACGCAGUAGUAUGGCGCAUAGGAGUCUUGGGUGUUUUGCAAGUCGUAAUAGCGCUUCUAGUUGCGCUCGUGCUCUGUCCAAUAUUCUCCUUACUGUUGCUGGCAGGUGGCGCGGCGGCGUGGGCGGCGCGCGGCGCGUGGGAGGCGGCGGCGUGGCGCGCGCUCAUAGUGCGGGCGGCGCGCGUCCCGGCGCACGACUCUGCCUUCUGCCGGCGCGUGCGCGGGCCCGGCCUUCACGCGCCCACUUACUACCAGAUAUCGUGCGCGCAGGCAGUAGCAGCGGUGGUGGCUCGCGCUGAGCUAGAGGUUCUGUCUGCGUGGGCGGCCGACACUGAACGAGCCAUUGAGCGACCACUGCGCGACUACGAACACUUCGUGCAUGCUUGCUUCGGCCCUUUCUCCGUGCAGAUAGCAAAGACCGGUUCGUACAGGCAGGUGGAACGUGAGUGCACAGAGUUGGUGCAGUCAGUGCGAGAGAAGCUGCGCGCACGCCGGAGAGAGCUCUCACUGUCGCUGCCGGACACCGCGCGUGCACGCGUGCGCCUUGCAGCGCCAGACCUUACGCGUACGAUCGAGGCGGCGGCGGCGGAGUUGAGUGGCGUGUGGCGCCACGCGUCGCGUGCCGACGACUGGUGGACGCAGCGCGGCCUCGAGCGCGGACACUGGCGCGCGCUCGCCGCUAACACGCUCGUCGAGGUGUUCGACGCGGAGGUGGUGGUGCCCCUGCAGGACGGCGAGGCGCGGCUGGCACUGGAGGGCGGCGAGGCGGUGCGGUCGUGGGCCACGCGGUGCGGCGCCGCGCCCCCCGACGUGCUGCCCGCGCUCUGCGCCCCGCCGCCGCCUGACCACGACGACGCCGCGCGCUACCUGUGGUGCGAGUGGGGCAGCACGCCGGCGCUGCGCGUGGCGGCGCCCGCGCUGGACGCGGCGGCGUUCAGCCCGCGCGCGCCGCUGCACCCGCCCGUGCCGCACCCCGCCACCGUCGCGCUCGUCCUGCACAACCGGGACUCUGACAAUCCUGUGCCUUUAGAGUCUGAUCUGUACGCAGAAAUCUUGAAAAGCUUAGAAGACGCGCCUGACUGUACUGAACAACAAGAGGACGCAGAGCGGUAUCGCGGUGGGGGCGGCACCGAGGGCUCCAGCUCCGAUGGCAGUGUAGAGGAUGAAGAUGAUGCCAGGAGAGACCGAAGAGACUUCGAAGAGGAGGGUUUAUGCCGCGUGUCUCCGCGGCGGGAGCGCGCGGCGUGUCGCUGGACGCUGACGGGGCGCGGCGUGCGCCUGCGCGCAGACCUCGCCAGUCCCGAGGACGUCACCCUCGACGCAGACGGCGUGCACUCCGGCACCUCCGUCUGAAACACACAACGACACGAUGCUAUACUACGCUACUGCCUACCAUCCACGGGUGCCACCGACAGAAUGAAAUUGAACGAAUCUGAAUGCGCUUUUUGAAGAUAGUUAUUACUGAACCAACUGUCUUGGUCUAUGCUCAGGCUUUCAAUAUGCAGGAGGUAUGCUUUAACUCUUAUGCAGUACCUAUUCAACGUACGUUGUCUAUGCACAAUUCAUUAGAACUAAUAUUGACUUAGAAUAAUUUGUGUUUUGAGAUGCAAUGUGUGUCCAUGCAGGAGCUUGAAUAUAAAGCAAAAUGAUUCUAAAUUUCAUGUAUAGAAAUCGGCAUAGGUUACACUGUGAUAAUACUCCCUGCUUUGGUGACAUAUAUAGAUAUUCUUUUGUUAGUAUAAUUUACAAUAAUCUCUCACAAGUUUGGCUAAGCACAUACAAAUACGAUAGUCAACAUAACACUGCAUAAAGCUUUACAAAUUGUCAAAUUACAGAAUACGAAUAAGAUGAAUAAUUGAAAACAACUUUAACACCCUUUAUGAAGUCUAAUUAACACGUAUUUAAACAUUUCAGUUCCUUUAAUAACACAAUGUGUAAAAGGAACCGCAGAGGAAUCUCAAAGGGCGCGCGCGCUCUCGUUUGUGUUUGGGUGUGUGUGUGUGUGUGUUUAUGCGCACGUGUGCGCGUGUUUAUGUGUGUGUAUAAACUUGUCGUUAAAAUAACCUUACCUCGGUAUAAGUGCAAUUCAAUUGGAACAACGAUAACUGAAUUUAGUAUAGUGAAGGACUCUGCAUUAACAAGUAUAGAUUUUUUGUGUGCGUUUAUAUGUUUUGCGUUGUAUGAAUUGGAAAGUAGAUAAUUUAAGUAAAUAGCUUGCAUAAUAACCGUAUUGUCGCGUUUAUUAUAGUGAAAUAUGCGUAACAUGGUGAAACAGGAGAAUUAUUGUUCCGUUAGUCAAAAAUCCCAUUUAUGGACAAAACUUAAAAUUGAUGGCUGUCUUCUCAUUACCCUACAAUUUGAUUAUAAUGUGGGAGCAUUUAGAGUACAAAACAAAUAACUCUGCACGGGACUCGCGUUAAAUUAAUUUCAUAUAAUGUUUAAUGUUUUUAAGAAAGUGGGAAUAUGGCGAAAUUGGAUUGAACUGUAGUAAUGACUAAGGGGCACUGGAUAUUGCACUGUUGUCAAUGCUGUUAAUUGCAUUAUUGGGUUGUUGUCUUAUAAAAGAGUAUUUUUAUGUGGUGGUAUACAAUGUGUCUGACAACAAUACAAAUAUUUUAUGACUCAAAAUGUGGUAUGGAAUUUGCUUUAAAUAAAAAUCAAAUAUAAACCGUAUCAUGAUAUAUAUGUUGCGUAUUAGCUUAUAACCUAUAAUUCGGUAUACCGAAUUCGGUACCUAAUUAUACGUUAUUAUGUAUAGAUAGGAACAAGUACAUGAAUAAAGUAGCUUGCAAAAGCUAAUUGAAAAGUGUGAGUACGCACAUAAUAUUCACGGAAUGAAGCAUUUGCCAAUUUAACAUUAUAACCUUGAAUUUUACUUGUAGAAUUUUAACUUUUAUAGAGAUAGAUUGAAAUUAUUAGAAUAUUUUUUCAUAAUAUGUUGAUUGGUUUAUUGCUAUACCAACAUGUCGUGACUGUGGCAUUUAUUCGAGUUAUUUCUUAGAUAUCUUCAUGCUUUAUCAAAAUCAAUAAGUGACCCUCCACCAACAUUUUUUAUUAUGUGUUAUAUUAGACUAUAUUCUUAAAAGGCAACUAGUUACCUCUAGUCUGAGUUUACAAAUUUUUAUUUUAUAUUUCACUUUGAGUGAACUUUUGGAUUUUAACCUCUGAUUUGAAAUUAUUGGAAGCAAAAAAUCGUUGAGAUUAUAAAACUAUGAAUGAAAGAGCUGACUAAAGUGUUCGUGCCCAGUUGAAGCAAUCGGCACUACGCUGGAAAUAGGAAUGAUGUAUGUAUAUACGUAAUAUAUAUUUUUAAUAAAACAAUAUUUAGGGAUUUUCAUUUUGAAACGAUAAUAUAAAAAAGUUAUUCCAUCAUGACCUAAAAGUAUAAUAGCACUCGUCUAUAGACACCAAACUACCCCGUCAGAGAGUAGGGUAUAAAAAAUUGGUGAAUACAGGCAAAUUUGUAGUCACGGCCAGCGCGCGAAUAAUGUGGGUCAAUGUUCAGUACAGUAUCAGUAGAUUGAUGAAUACAAUUUACGAAACCCAACUAACAAAAGUAACACUUGCCAACGGACUCCAUAGUACCCGAAUGCUAUAGUGUUGACGCUUGUCAGUCACGAAAAAAUCAACAUACUCGCACUAUGAAACACAUUUAGAAAGUAAUAAUGCUAGACUUGUUAAAAAUGCUUACUCCAUAGUCCAUAGCAUAGAUGUCUAUUUAUCUACUGAAUUUUGAUGCGAAAUGGCGUUGCUCCGGUACUGCGUACGCGAAUAUACGGCGGACAUAAAGUACGGUUAUCGGUAUAAAAGAUGUUAUAAGUGCAGAGAUGGGAGUUAUAGAUUGUUUGUUGUAAUAAUAUUUUACCACGUGCGCAUAGCAUUGGCCAAUUUAUUAAAUAAGAUAAAAAGCUAAAAUAUACGCUUUAAGCGUCGGCACAAAAAAAUAUUUUGUCCGAAAUGUAUAACGCACUUGGUGAUAAGUCUAAUCUACAAAGGCCAAAGUCGCCCAAUCUACGUUUAAUUCAAAAAUGAGCGAGAAUUAUGUUUCUUGCAAGAAAUUUAUUUCCAAAAAUUACACUUCCUAUAAAAUAAAAUAUAUACAUGCAAAAUUAUACAUUACUAUUAAUACCAUGCUUAACUUUGCAUGUAUACUAAAUUUAUACAUGCAAAAUUAAUGCACAAGACUUAGGCCGUUCUUAUUCUUGUUUCAUUAUUAAUAUUUGGUUCAUCAUAAAUAAUAUUUGGUUAACUUACUUGUCAAAAAGUUUAGCUAAAAUAUCCAAUGUUAGGCCUAACUUUCAAAAAUCAAUUUAACUAUACACAACGAAUCUCAUUAAUUCUCGAUGCUUAAACCUUCGCUUAUUAACCGCACACAAGUUCCAAAGAAUACAACAGUCACUUAUUACAAAGAUAAUAUUAAAUACUCAUUUAUAUUAAGAGAUUAGAAAUAAAAAAUAUAUUUAUUGUAAAAUAAAACUAAUAGUGCCUAGAAUAGACGUUGUGGCGAGCUAUAGUAAUGUACAUAAUAUAUAGUAGCAUGGCCAGUCGCAGUAGAUUAAAUAUUAUAUUUAUGAAAUGUGUUAUAUUCAAAGGCAGAAAUGAACACUGAAGUAAAUUUAAAAAUAAGUACCAUAAAAAUACAUGCCAAAGUAAAACAACUGUCGAAUUUAGGUUCACAUCCAUAUCCUCAUUCUGUAGCUUUGUUGUCAAACCGAAAAUGAGUUUUGAUUUACCGCUUUCGAUCGAAUUAUUAUUUAACUUAAACGUUUUAGGUUACCGAUUGCGGAUCGACAUAUUUAAACCAUUUAUUUUUCUACACACACAUAAAUACAACAAAAAAAAAGUAUAAAAGAAUUGUAUGGUAUAGUAUUGACAAUACCAGGCACACAACUUAUUGCUUGCAUGAUGUGUGGUAGUAGGGAUACCAGCUCAGUAUACGCUGUAAAACAGCACUGAUUUUCAGCUGAACCCCACUAUUAAUAUAGCACAACAAAUCUUUUUGAGUGUACGGUCAGCUACAGCAUACAUGCAUGCAUGCAUAUGAGUAAAGAUCAUUAAUAUUUCUCCACCUGAAAUACUUUUGUGUAUUAGGUUUUCAGUAUUAUAACUCAAGCGUUGAAGAAAUGGUAUAUUCGAUAUUAAAUUAUAAUCUACGUCAGUGGCCAUUUCUGUUUUCGAGCCUAACAUAAAUAAACACCGUGCUUACAAAGUGAUGCAUCGCAAUUCGAAUAUUGUUAUGUAUGUUGUUUCUCAAGAGAAUAGCAACCGCAGAACAGGGUACCGUUUUCAUAACAUUGUAAUAUAGCCAGUGGAAUUACUAUCUGAUGUUGAGACAGUAUUACGAAGAUAGUGCAACACUACGCGGAGCUUUGUAAUUCAAAAUUUUGUAUGGUGUGUGUAGCUGUUGUUUACGGCCAGACAUGACCGUUUACCAUCGCGCAAGCGAAGUGCUUUUUAGUCAAACGCUGCCUGUCAACUGCAGACAGUCUGGCAUGAGAAUCUACACAGGUAUUAGGUACAUAGUAAUUGCUAUAAUAAUACAUCAUUUUGUACGCACGGAUCGGUUAUUGCUUGACAAAUUAAUGUUUGAUUAUUUGUAUUAUAUUUAUACCACCAAUUAAGAAUGUAAACCGUUGUACCUACAUGUAAGUCUACGUCCAUCGCGCCAAUUAAUUUUUAACCAAAUAUGUGUAUGAAAUUCAUAAUCUCAUGAGGCCAUGACGGUAAGAGCAACCAUUUUAGACGUUUCACCGUAUGCAAUUUUUAUGCAAACUAGGCCAAGCAACCAAAUAUCCAAUAAUAUUGUUUGUAAUAUUAAAAUGUUUAAUGUUUCGCUUAUCCUUUAUCUUUUGAUUUGUGAGGAAAUGUUACCCCCAAAUCAAAUCAAUUAAUAAAUUAUUCGAUUAAGUUGAACCAAUUCAUUAUUAUUUUAUUACUUAACAUGUUUUUUAUAGUUUACAAGAUUUAUGCAACUUUUUAGGUAAAAAUCUAUCAUUUUCUCAACGUAGUUAUCUUGCAAUACAGUCUUUCGUGUUACAGUUGCAAAUCAAUAUAUGUGUUUUUAGGUACAUAUUAUGACAUUCUGGUUGCCAACAUCUGCAACAAGUUUACAGGCUUCUUUUAAUACCGAUAUUUGUAAUCAUAAUAGCUAUUAUUAUUGGAUACUUACAUCGUAGCCUUGCCUAGUCUUGCAACUUGUUAACUUAAACAUGCUUCUAAGUUAUAAUUGAAAUAUUAUAUAAUUGGUACCAAGUGAAAGAGUGCGCGUUGCAUGGCACAAUACACCGAAUUGCUUAUAGUUUAACGCCUAUUAAAGUGAUCUGUACCCAUGACAUUAUGUUAAGUAAUAUUACGGUUAAGUGACAAUAUUAAAAAAUUGAAGUUAUUAAAAUUAAAUCAUAGUAUUUUUGAGAUACUAGCAAUUAAUCAUGUAUUUGUUAUAUAUCAAUACAUAUUUAAUUGCAAUCUUUUUACCAUUACAUAAAACCAAGAAUGGUUUACAAUAAAUUCAUUCAAAGCUUAUUUUUAUUUAUUACGUUGAGCCCCAGUGACAGUUUUGUUAAUUUAACAUUAUAACUUGCGCGUAACUAUAAUUAUUUGUGCUAGUUGUAAGUAGCAAUCAGUUUCGAUAAUUUUUGAUUAUUCUUAUCGAAUCAAAAAUUUACAACUUCAGUAGUAAAGAUGACUUUUAUUUUAUGACUUAUUAAAUUAACUCAUUUUGCACCGAAUAUAAAGUGUAUAAACAAUUUUCUUUAUUUUAUAAUUUUAAUGUUCGCACAGCUUUAUGGACGUUAAAAAAUGUAAUAAAAUAUUUAAAGCAAAUUAAGUUAUACAAGUGCCAGGUCAAUAUAAAGUGUUUGCAAUUUUUUUAUAUACUUAUUUAAGCAAUUAACACGCACCGACCUAUCAUACCACCUACGCUAAGAAUAUCUAUUGUUUUAAGGCCUAAGUAAUCUAAUAUUUAAGUAGAUACCUAUUUUCAUCACACAGUGAAACACUUGCUCAUUUAAUUUAUACCUAGUCGAAUCGGCAUAUUCUAUUAAGUGUAGAACUAAUUUCUUAUUUGAAAAAACGUUUGAAUGCUUAAAUGUAACGAAACAACUGUAUCUAUUCCCGUCAUGUCUGAAUGAAUAAAUUUUUCAUUUAAAAUA